This 465-nucleotide ribosomal RNA is filed under the name uncultured bacterium. Its description in RNAcentral is "partial 16S ribosomal RNA". It matches the Rfam family "Bacterial small subunit ribosomal RNA", at positions 28 to 507 of the family's 1533-position model. The record is from RNAcentral.
GACGAACGCUGGCGGCGUGCUUAACACAUGCAAGUCGAACGGAAAGGCCCUGCUUGCAGGGUACUCGAGUGGCGAACGGGUGAGUAACACGUGGGUGAUCUGCCCUUCACUUCGGGAUAAGCCUGGGAAACUGGGUCUAAUACCGGAUAGGAGCCAUUUUUAUUGUGAUGGUUGGAAAGUUUUUUCGGUGUAGGAUGAGCUCGCGGCCUAUCAGCUUGUUGGUGGGGUAAUGGCCUACCAAGGCGGCGACGGGUAGCCGGCCUGAGAGGGUGGACGGCCACAUUGGGACUGAGAUACGGCCCAGACUCCUACGGGAGGCAGCAGUGGGGAAUAUUGCACGAUGGGCGCAAGCCUGAUGCAGCGACGCCGCGUGGGGGAUGACGGCCUUCGGGUUGUAAACUCCGUUCGCUAGGGACGAAGCUUUUUGUGACGGUACCUAGAUAAGAAGCACCGGCUAACUACGUG